Molecule: ribosomal RNA, 253 nt
Filed under: uncultured bacterium
Lineage: Bacteria
Description: partial 16S ribosomal RNA
Rfam family: Bacterial small subunit ribosomal RNA
Source: RNAcentral
UCCGUAGGGUGCAAUCGUUGUCCGGAUUUAUUGGGUUUAAAGGGUGCGUAGGCGGCCCGUUAAGUCAGUGGUGAAAUACAGCAGCUCAACUGUUGAUGCGCCAAUGAUACUGGCGGGCUAGAGUACAGACGAGGUAGGCGGAAUUGACAGUGUAGCGGUGAAAUGCAUAGAUAUUGUCAAGAACACCGAUAGCGCAGGCAGCUUGCUAGCCUGUAACUGACGCUGAGGCACGAAAGUGUGGGGAUCAAACAGG